This 344-nucleotide small nuclear RNA is filed under the name Myotis brandtii (Brandt's bat). RNAcentral describes it as "7SK RNA". It matches the Rfam family "7SK RNA". Rfam says of the family: 7SK was discovered as an abundant small nuclear RNA in the mid-70s but a possible function has only recently been suggested. Two independent studies have found that 7SK RNA binds the CDK9/cyclin T complex (known as elongation factor P-TEFb). Lineage: Eukaryota; Metazoa; Chordata; Mammalia; Chiroptera; Vespertilionidae. The record is from Rfam by way of RNAcentral.
GGAUGUGAGGGCAAUCUGGCUGCGACAUCUGUCACCCCAUUGAUCGCCAGGGUUGAUUCGGCUGAUCUGGCUGGCUAGGCGGGUGUCCCCCUCCUCCCUCACCGAUCCGUGUGCGUCCCUCCCGAAGCUGCGUGCUCGGUCGAAGAGGACGACCUUCCCCCCCGAGGAGAGGACCAGUCUUCGGUCAAGGGUACACGAGUAGCUGCGCUCCCCUGCUAGAACCUCCAAACAAGCUCUCAAGAAUAGGCAUACUUCAGAACCUGGACCAGAAAAAAUGAUCAAGUUCAUCAAUUUCUUUAUUCCCAUCAAAUAUGGCUGGUUGUUCUUCCAGUUAACCAUUUUUU